Molecule: unclassified non-coding RNA, 354 nt
Filed under: soil metagenome
Description: partial contains 5.8S ribosomal RNA, internal transcribed spacer 2, and large subunit ribosomal RNA
Rfam family: 5.8S ribosomal RNA (bases 1-121)
Source: RNAcentral
GAUGAAGAACGUAGCGAAAUGCGAUAAGUAAUGCGAAUUGCAGAAUUCCAGUGAAUCAUCGAAUCUUUGAACGCACAUUGCGCCCGCGAGUAUUCUCGCGGGCAUGCCUGUCCGAGCGUCAUUUCAACCCUCAGGGCCCGCCUGCUUCGGCAGGCGCGGCGCUGGUGUUGGGGAUCGGCCUAACCGCCGUCCCCCAAAUACAGUGGCGGUCUCGCUGCAGCCUCCCCUGCGUAGUAGCAACACUCGCAUGCGGAGCGCGGCGCGGCCACGCCGUAAAACCCCCGACUUUCUGAACGUUGACCUCGGAUCAGGUAGGAAUACCCGCUGAACUUAAGCAUAUCAAUAAGCGGAGGA